GUGGGGAAUCUUCCGCAAUGGACGAAAGUCUGACGGAGCAACGCCGCGUGAGUGAUGAAGGUCUUCGGAUUGUAAAGCUCUGUUAAUCGGGACGAAAGAGCCUAGUGUGAAUAAUGCUAGGAAGUGACGGUACCGGAAUAGAAAGCCACGGCUAACUACGUGCCAGCAGCCGCGGUAAUACGUAGGUGGCAAGCGUUGUCCGGAAUUAUUGGGCGUAAAGCGCGCGCAGGCGGAUCUGCCAGUCUGUCUUAAAAGUUCGGGGCUUAACCCCGUAAUGGAUGGAAACUACAGAUCUAGAGUAUCGGAGAGGAAAGUGGAAUUCCUAGUGUAGCGGUGAAAUGCGUAGAUAUUAGGAAGAACACCAGUGGCGAAGGCGACUUUCUGGACGAAAACUGACGCUGAGGCGCGAAAGCCAGGGGAGCGAACGGGAUUAGAAACCCUGGUAGUCC
This 449-nucleotide ribosomal RNA is filed under the name uncultured bacterium. RNAcentral describes it as "partial 16S ribosomal RNA". It matches the Rfam family "Bacterial small subunit ribosomal RNA", at positions 354 to 796 of the family's 1533-position model. The record is from RNAcentral.